AUCAAAAGGUGCUACUCCCCCACCACUUUUUCAAGUUGUGUCCCCUUUCACUUGUGAAAAUGCCCCCCUUAUUCCAUAAGUGCCCUGGCCUAGCUUAAGCUUAUCACUUGAUUUCGACACCUCUUUUUUUCACCCUCUUUUUUCUUUUUAAAUAGUGCCUCAUUUCGAGCUAGGAAUAUUUGAGCAUGAUUUUGUUGGUGGGAUAUCCUGGGAGAGAUUAAACCAAAUUUGUCGGAGGAUUGCCCCCACCCUCGUAGAUACACCCCUGGGGGCGAUCAAGCUAGAACUAUAUCUAUAUAGUAUAUCCAAGAUUUUGUAUUUAGUUCUACUUUAACAAGAACAUUUUAUUAAAUUGGCCCAUUAUAUUUUUGUUCGUGUGGAGAAGGGGGGUCCUGGACGCGCUCAUCCUGGACAUAGUAACAUUAUUUUAUGCUAAUUCAUCUCAUUUAUUUAUUAACCAAAUAAUUCAAUAGUUGGAGCCUGCACGUGCAAGCCUGCCUAUGACCCUUGUUAUGGCCCCACUACGGAGCUUGAUGCUCAACCAGGUGGAAAGAUGGAGGAGGGUUGGGAUUCGUGCGGUGGCGUUAACAUCAAAGAGAGAGAUGUCAAAAGAAGACUUACAAGGUUUACAAACAGGAGAUUUCGACCUGGUGUUUUCCUCACCUGAAGUCAUCACAUCUGCAGCAUGGUGGCCAUGGCUGCAAAAGAAUAAAGGCAGGAUCUCCCUGUUGGCAUUGGACGAAAUGCAUUGCCUUUCAAAGUGGUAAACACUUAUUUAUCAUCUCAACGUUAUAUUUUUUAUAAAGCAGGGAUACCACUGAAAAUCACCUAGAAUGGGCUAUUUUGUACAUUUAAAAGGACUUUUCUAUGGCCUGUUAUAAGGUGCCAGGACCUGAAUUCAGGAUUUUGCCUCAUAUGUGUUGGCCCUGAAUAAAGGCUAUCAGAUUAAAAUGUUCAUAUCAUUUGAAGUUUCAUGCAAUCCUCUUUAAUGAUUUUCUUAAAAUAAUAAUCUGAAUACUUAAGUAGAUUCUCACUUUCAGAAAAACUCAGUGCGCACAUUUUGAAAAGUAUUUGGUUUGACAAUGGUCAUUGCAGCUGAAAUUCUGGAGGACCUCUUUGAACCUAGAGACAUAAAUGGCUCUAAAGGUUAUAGAAAAUAACAGACGUGAUUCACUGCAGUAAUAUGGCAUUUUGUGUUAUUAAUUAGUUACCAAUGUAUACAGAUCCUGUGGAUUUACAGCAUAUGGUGAAUAUCAUCAUAAGUAGUCAAUCCUGUUGCAUAUUUUUCAGCACUUUUAUUUAUAGUUCUUUCCUUUUAAUUUUACUAGGGGCAAGACUUUUCGUCCAGAAUAUCUACAGGUGGUCAGCCUCAGAAGUAUUGUAUCAUGCCCCAUUAUGCUUCUGACAGCUACAGCCACAACCAGCAUCAUCAAAGAAGUGCUUCAUCUAUUACAUCUAAAGGAGACAGACAUUGAAACAGUGGCACAUAUCCCAGAUAGACCAAAUAUCCACCUAUCCCUGGAAAGGACAACAUCCACAGAUUUCAAAGAGUAUCUGAAGGACUAUCUUGAAAUCUUAAAGAGGGAAAAGGACAAGGCCCCAAAGGCUAUCAUCUACACACAGAGCGUUACAAAAGUAGCAGAGAUAUGGGGAUGGAUGCAGACGGAGCUUGGUAAUCAUCCAGCAG
This 1687-nucleotide long non-coding RNA is filed under the name Strongylocentrotus purpuratus (purple sea urchin). RNAcentral describes it as "uncharacterized LOC115923660". The record is from RNAcentral. Lineage: Eukaryota; Metazoa; Echinodermata; Echinoidea; Camarodonta; Strongylocentrotidae.